Paramuricea clavata is the source of this 1363-nucleotide non-coding RNA. The record is from the annotation of a GenBank genome assembly. Lineage: Eukaryota; Metazoa; Cnidaria; Anthozoa; Malacalcyonacea; Plexauridae.
AAAAAACUCAUUAUUUAUUUAUUUAUUAUAAUUAAUAAGGCAAGUAGAAAACCGAUUUAACAAACAUAAAUUAGACUAGACACAAUUUACAUCAACACAGGCAGGGAGCCAGGGACUGACCACAGAGCCAAUCUCCAAUAAUGGGGUGCCAUACAUAAUUCUACGUGAAGUAAAUGUACGCGAUCAAACAAAUUCCCUAGGCUAUUUGAUUGUCAACAAUAUGACCUCACUGACAGACUAGGAAGAAACCGAGUUGUGUGGCACUUGACACACAUUGACUUGAAUGCGUUUGGAUUGUAUGGGUCGUAAAUAUAUUCUAAUAAGGGACAGAUCAUUAAUAAUGAGAGGGGGUGGUGGAUGAUAAAUACCAAAUAUUUAGAAAAUUAGCCGCCCCAAUCGCAAGACCUUUAUUUUCAAGAUACUCCUACCUCCCCCCUCCCAGCAUUUAACUCGUUACAUUUUUGGUGUAAAAUAGUUAAUGGGACAAGUAUUGGUGUAAAGGCGGUUUUCCUGUCCUCGCACGAAGCUCCUCGCUGCUCGCUGCGAGUGCUUGCAUCUAAUUAAAAUGAACUGUUUAACUGUUUUAGCAUUUUGAUUGGAGCACAUGCAUCACUCGCAGCGAGCUGCGAGGAGCUUCGUGGGAGGACUGGAAAUCCGCCUUUAGACAAAUAAUUAGAGGACCAGUAUUCAAAAUGGUUGCUAUUUACUCCGACUCCUAUGGUGAACUGCAUAUAUACGUAAUAAACUAUGGAAACUACGAUUAUAGGAGCUAAAAAAGGUGAAAUACUUUGUGGGAUAUACGAUAAAGGCGAGAGAUUGAAAAUGAAUAGGAAAGUAUUAAAAAACUGAGGUCCCCCCUUGACACAUAUUUUUCAAUUUGAGGUCGUCCCCAAUUCAGGCCGCCCCCCUUUUCUCACCCACUGCCCCCACUCCCAUUAUUAAUGACCGGUCCCUAAUUAAGUAUAUAAUGAGUUUUUAAAGUACACUAGUGAUCUUGAAGUGUCACGAAUACCGCUAUAGGGAGAACGUUCCAAUAACUGUUCGUAUUGAUACAUUGAUAUCAUCGCUUAGAAUACGCUUGUAAAGAUAAACCAAGUCUGAAAUAUUCGUGCCAGUAGCAGACUGAGAGAAUACCAAUAGCUGUAGUCGUUCCUUGUAUGUAGUGACUGUUCUAUAAGGGAGGGAAAGGAUGUGGGAAAGGAUGUACGGAAAGGGUGUUGAACUCGUUCUAUUGUCAGUAUGUCGGAUACAAUUUAAGGUGCCCACACCUGGUUGGCAUAAUUCAGAUUUGCUGCGAACCAGUGGGAGGUACAAGACCUUCCGUAUGCACAUGGAUGUUAUGCGUGACCGAUGCUGUUUGAUG